UUAUCCAUAUAUUGUUCAUAUGUGUGUAGAUAUAAGUCCAUAUAUCUAGAUAUAAAAAUCUUACAUUUUUCUUUUGAUCGCAAAAUCACUGUACUAACUGUUAUGUUUAAACUAAGUAAGAGCAAAAAUAAGAAACAGAAAAUGAAUCCGAACACAACCAAAACAAGACAAAAUGUUUUCCUUCUUCUUCCUCAAUCUAACAGUCG
Molecule: long non-coding RNA, 206 nt
Filed under: Nicotiana benthamiana
Lineage: Eukaryota; Viridiplantae; Streptophyta; Magnoliopsida; Solanales; Solanaceae
Description: long non-coding RNA (NBEN_LNC012850)
Source: RNAcentral